Molecule: ribosomal RNA, 225 nt
Filed under: uncultured archaeon
Lineage: Archaea
Description: partial 16S ribosomal RNA
Rfam family: Archaeal small subunit ribosomal RNA
Source: RNAcentral
UCCGUAGCCGGUCUUGUGCAUCCCCUGUGAAAUUGCCAGGCUUAACCGUAACAGCGUGCAGGGGACACGGCAAACCUUGAGACCGGGAGGGGUCAAAAGUAUUCCUUAGGGACCGGUAAAAUGGUAUAAUCCAAGGAGGACCACCUGUGGCGAAGGCGUUUUGACUAGAACGGAUCUGACUGUGAGGGACGAAAGCCAGGGGAGCAAACCGGAUUAGAUACCCGA